This 66-nucleotide transfer RNA is filed under the name Neotoma lepida (desert woodrat). It matches the Rfam family "tRNA". Rfam says of the family: Transfer RNA (tRNA) molecules are approximately 80 nucleotides in length. Their secondary structure includes four short double-helical elements and three loops (D, anti-codon, and T loops). Lineage: Eukaryota; Metazoa; Chordata; Mammalia; Rodentia; Cricetidae. The record is from Rfam by way of RNAcentral.
GGUGUAACUUAGUUGGUAGAGUCCUUGCCUAGCAUGCAUGAAGCCUUGGAUUCAAUCCCCAGCACC